Molecule: non-coding RNA, 2106 nt
Organism: Microcebus murinus (gray mouse lemur)
Lineage: Eukaryota; Metazoa; Chordata; Mammalia; Primates; Cheirogaleidae
Source: RefSeq, a predicted model, not a curated record
CUCGCCUUGGCUGCCAGGUCACUUUGAUGUGGCCCAGACAUUUCUUGUUACAUCAACAAUGGCUGGAUGCUUUCUGGACAGACCUCAGAGAGAGAGAGAGAGAGAGAGAGAGAAGGGGAAAGAACAGGGGAUGGGGACAACGCAACACAAAAUUCACCCAAAGACGUGCAGCCUAGUGGCAGGUGGCUGUCAACCGGGGCGGUGGCAGAUUGAGCAUCCCAAAUCCAGGAAUAGGAAAUAUGAAACACUUGCUGUCCUGAACAGGGCAGAUAAGGGAUAAUAAACCUGUGUGAAUAAACAACUUAUUUCCAUCUAUAAAUGGUUGGAUCCAGUUUUAUAAAUAGUAAAACUUCUAUUUGUGCCACUGAGUUUUGGGAUGGUUUCCUGUGCAGCUAUCAAGAAUAUCCCACUCCUCUGCCUGAUUGGGACGCUCCCCAUUCCCUGUCCUGCUCUCCACCUCUCCCUGCCCUCUCUUCUGCUGGCAGUGGCCUCUCCUGAGUUCCUAAUCGGUGCUCCCUGGGAGCCAAUCCAUCUCCCAAAGGCCUGGAGCUUCGUAGUCCCCAGAGCCUGGGCAUCCUCCUUCCGCGGUGCUCCUCACUGCCACCUGCAUUGCCACGUGUGGCUCUGCCUUCUCUUCUCCUCCCGUGCUAACUCCAGAGUGCCAUUCCUGGUCCUCCACAACGCCUGGCGCACGCUGAGCACAUGUUCUGAGUUCUACGUUCAUAGGUUAGAGCACAGUGCUCUUGUGCAAGUGUCACACUGAGUCUGACGUGCAUCGAGCCACGCAGGACAUCACGGUUAGAGCUCGAAUGAUUGAAGUCAGAACACAAAGAGCAAAGGGGCGAGGUAACUCCAAUCUUCAAAUCCCCUGGACCCCUUUAUAACACUGGUGUUUAAGAAACAGGAUUGACAGUUUAGUCAAUACGUCGUUUCAUGCUUUUUGCAAUGUAGAAGGGCUAUGUUUUUGAGGACACGACUGGACUGCAUCCUACCAAGUGUUUCCAAGGAACCAAGGGACACAUUUAGACAGGUAGGCAGAGACAGAUGAGACACACAGAGAAGACAGAUGAUGGACCCUUAGUGUAACUCACUGAGGACUACUAUUAGGAGCAGUACACUCACAGGCUGAAGGAAAAAUGAAUUAAUUCCUACACAUCAAGGACGAGGGCCAGCUGGGGAGAAUGCAGUAUUGUUUCCCAGCAGAGGACAUCUGAAACCAGAGGGAAGGUGAUUUUCUAAGGGUGUCCUGAGCCUGAUCCAUGACAACAGACUUUGAAGAGACUCCGCUGUGCUGUGGUCACUGUCGCCCGGGCAGUGCUGGGUCCAGGGCCUGGGCUGUAAGAGCCGUGGGGGUCCAGGGUGACUUGUGUGUUGGUGGUGGGUUAUUACUGCCUUGGGCGCCUCUCCUUGCUCCUUUUCCCUGCUUUGCAGCCAGGUAGAAUUUCAAAGAAAAUUAAAAUACAGGACGGAUGAGGACCCUGUUGGGAAAGGAAACAUGAGUGUGUCUUCCCCUACCCACUUCCUCUGCCUCUGCUACUGUGGCUCUGUCUCUUACCUCUAUAGAGCCACUUGUCAGCUUGGCCCCAAGAGCCUCUCCCUCCCUCCCGCGCGUGUAACUCGGCCUUUCUCCUGCCCUCGCUCUCGGCGAGCUUAGUUUUAGAUGGGGUUUUAGCUUAGGCAAAAAAAUAAAGUAUGGAGAUGCUAACUACUUUUAAAACAACUAUGUUUAGAAAGAUUUUAAAAACCAAAUUCUUGAGUUAAACCUGUUAUCAGUGCACCUUUAAUGAAUAUCAUAUAGUUUAGAAGGACCCGGAAUAAUUUCAAGUUUUAUUUGACAUCAUGAAGUGACUAGGCGUUACCCUGACUAUAACAACAAUGACGGCAAUUCCCUGGCUUUAUCAAACAGAUAAGGCACACGCCUGUGAAUCAAGGUGCUGAGAGUCGCAAGUAGCUGGGAUGGAUUUUUAACAGGAGUUUGAGGUCAAAUAGCAGUAAGAUCUUAAAGGAAAUAAGAAUCUAACAUUUGAAAUGAUUAAACACAUGCAAUGGCUGAGGAGUUUAAUAUAUGAAACAGUUUCAGUUACCCUUAAGUUUGAGAAUUCUAGA